UUAUUGGAGAGUUUGAUCCUGGCUCAGGAUGAACGCUGGCGGCGUGCCUAAUACAUGCAAGUCGAGCGAACCAAUUAAGAGCUUGCUCUUAAGAAGUUAGCGGCGGACGGGUGAGUAACACG
Molecule: ribosomal RNA, 122 nt
Filed under: Bacillus multifaciens
Lineage: Bacteria; Bacillati; Bacillota; Bacilli; Caryophanales; Bacillaceae
Description: partial 16S ribosomal RNA
Rfam family: Bacterial small subunit ribosomal RNA
Source: RNAcentral